GCCCAGGUGGUGGAAUUGGUAGACACGCCAGCUUCAGGUGCUGGUGAUCGAAAGGUCGUGGAGGUUCAAGUCCUCUCCUGGGCACCA
RNAcentral lists this transfer RNA (87 nucleotides) under Gammaproteobacteria bacterium LSUCC0112. RNAcentral describes it as "tRNA-Leu". It matches the Rfam family "tRNA". Rfam says of the family: Transfer RNA (tRNA) molecules are approximately 80 nucleotides in length. Their secondary structure includes four short double-helical elements and three loops (D, anti-codon, and T loops). RNAcentral also lists the same sequence under 6 other names. Lineage: Bacteria; Pseudomonadati; Pseudomonadota; Gammaproteobacteria. The record is from RNAcentral.